GGAGUCUAGCAUGUGCGCGAGUCAUUGGGACAUGACUAAACCUAAAGGCGCAAUGAAAGUGAAGGUCAGCCUUGCGCUGACCGAGGGAGGAUGGGCGGUAGCGUUCGCUUCCGCCUCGCACUCCCGGGGCGUCUCAUUCUCAUUGCGAGAAGAGGCGCACCAAGAGCGUACACGCUGGGACCCGAAAGAUGGUGAACUAUGCCUGGUCAGGACGAAGUCAGGGGAAACCCUGAUGGAGGUCCGUAGCGAUUCUGACGUGCAAAUCGAUCGUCGGAACUGGGUAUAGGGGCGAAAGACUAAUCGAACCAUCUAGUAGCUGGUUCCCUCCGAAGUUUCCCUCAGGAUAGCUGGCGCUCGUAGCGCACGAGUUUCAUCCGGUAAAGCGAAUGAUUAGAGGCAUUGGGGUCGAAACGGCCUCAACCUAUUCUCAAACUUUAAAUGGGUGAGAUCUCCGGCUUGCUCGAACUAUUGAAGCCGUGAGACUCGAAUCAGAGUGCCAAGUGGGCCAUUUUUGGUAAGCAGAACUGGCGCUGUGGGAUGAACCAAACGCCGAGUUAAAGCGCCUAAAUCGACGCUUAUGGGAUACCAUGAAAGGCGUUGGUAACUUAAGACAUCAGGACGGUGGCCAUGGAAGUC
RNAcentral lists this ribosomal RNA (636 nucleotides) under Cuemus sp. COL884. RNAcentral's name for it is "eukaryotic LSU rRNA". It matches the Rfam family "Eukaryotic large subunit ribosomal RNA", at positions 670 to 1262 of the family's 3401-position model. The record is from RNAcentral. Lineage: Eukaryota; Metazoa; Arthropoda; Insecta; Coleoptera; Tenebrionidae.